GGCUGAAAUUCGCCUUCAUGAAGCCGGAAUUGCUAGUAAUGGCAGGUCAGCAUACUGCCGUGAAUACGUUCCCGGGUCUUGUACACACCGCCCGUCACACCAUGGGAGCCGGGAAUGCCCGAAGUCGGCAGCCGAACCGUAAGGAAGGAGCCGCCGAAGGCAGGCCCGGUAACUGGGGUGAAGUCGUAACAAGGUAUC
This 198-nucleotide ribosomal RNA is filed under the name uncultured bacterium. RNAcentral's name for it is "partial 16S ribosomal RNA". It matches the Rfam family "Bacterial small subunit ribosomal RNA", at positions 1303 to 1500 of the family's 1533-position model. The record is from RNAcentral.